GAGUGAAAAUCAUGUAAACAACAUGGUUGACAACGUUGCUGUCAUGAUCGGAUAAUACACUAAGAAGUGCACGGGUGCUUUGGUACCAUGUCCAUUAUAUCCAUGUCCCGUCUUAAUUUCUAAUCAAACUGGCACACUUUCAAUUUUGAAUUACGUCCAUUGUCAUAAUCCCCGAGGUCCAAGUAGACAGAUUAGACAUGGCUUUGAAAGGGCAGGGGUCGCCCGGUCAAACGGAUACAUUUGACGGUAUUCGAAAUGGGAAUGAACCUAGCGGCCAGGGACCUACAAUACUCUCCGAUAACAACGAGCUCUCCUACAUUGUGUAUGAACACGACCCAGACUUGAUUGUAGAGAUUGACAUCCCCCUUGAUGAUAACGAACCCGUCAUAAAUGGUCACUCGAGGGGACCAACAGGUACUAAUAUACAUGUAUCAGGUGGUCAUUCUACCAGGAAGACUUCAUCCAAGGCCAAGUCAAACUCACCGGUGAAAACAAGAGGACGUCCAAUCCAAUCUCACGAGAUGGAACCAUUCCUUAGUGUAGAUAAUCUACCACCCGAGAAACGGGCGUCCCAGACAGUGAACUCUGGGAGCUCCAAGUCUCGUCGGAAGAUAAAAUCCUCUCCUGGUCCAGGAAAUCGUUCCUCGUUGUCCGGUCACUCUCCUUACGGUUCUCCUGCCUUCUUCCUCAGGAAUGGUAGACUGACGCCUGCAUCAUCUGUGUUCGUCACUCGGGAGGAUUCACCGAAAAAAUUAAACCACUGCAUCAAGAACCCAUUCAAACACUCUGUAAACUACACAACAGACGACUUGAACAUUGAGCGAGGAAAGACAGCCGAGCAUUGUAAAUCACCCUCAGGUGAGAUGGCGCAGAGAACAGCCUUUGCCACCUUCCAUAUGGGCAAGGUCCUCGCAAAGAACAACACGGAAAGUCCACCAAACAAACAGGGAAAGCUGCUCAAGGGAAAUCCUCCACGUCCACGUUCUGAGCCAUCUCGCAGAUUGCAGCCUCUGAAGCCGGUGGCUAUAGGCAGCGGUCCUACCAUUAGACAGUGCCGUGGCAUUGUGGCAGAAACAAAGAGUUAUGGUGCCCCGCCUAAUCGGACACUGGCUCGUCGUCGGGAAAUUGUCCAACAGAUACCCAACAUUCAUGAGUAUCUGUAUGAACGCCCACACACUGUUGAAAGUAUUCAUCGUACGUCCGAGGCUUCCAGUGUAGACGAAAACCGGGACAACAAUGUCAAGGUGGACUUCUCUGACCUUGACCUGGCAGAGAGACUUGACAGAGCUACUCCUACACCUACUGACCGUAACGUACCUCUGGGUCCUCCUGUCAGCGCCGCCUCACAGGAGCGUCAGAAACGAGGAGAUGAGUCCCAAGACCCAAGAGUGUUUGCCACAGAAAUCAGCACCAGCAGAACGGUUCCAGAAACCACAGACAUCAGCGAAAUUACAGCUGAAGAAUUACACAACAAAUUGAAUCUACAAAAUACUUCCAGCAAUGCCAAAACUGAGAAUGUACAGUGGAGAGACACUGAUACAGACAUAGGAGUAAUUAGUGAAGAGAGUCCAGUGCUGUCCAGACCACAGACAGCUGGUAGUGGACAGGGUCAGUCUCCGACAGCUGACAACAAUGUCCAAACACAAUCACGGCCACAUACUGCUGGAAGUGAUCAACUCCAGUCCAGACCUCAGACAGCCAGUAAGUCUGUACGCUUUGCUGAAGAUCCCACCAAAGAAAAAAAGGGACAAAAAUCAGGGAAAGACACAUGUAAACCUAGUGACCUAAGUAACGGUGACAACAGGGAUGAUGACUCAGAUGACCAAGGUCGUCCUAGUAGUAGGGAUAAAGGUCAGAGAUCAGGUCAGGGUGAAAUCAGGUUAAUUUCAGCUGGAAAUGCAGGACGGAGUUCAGCAGAAAGUGACAAACGAACCUCUUCAUCAAAGAGUGACAAUCAAGGGAAACAACAAAGUUUGAAAUGUUUGCAAAGCGAUAGACUUGAAAAUAAAGAGAAGACAACUGUUAAGCAAACAGUGUGUUUAAGAUAUGAGAGGAGUAAAGAUUUCAAGAAACCCUCCACCCUUCAGAUACAGGCGGUGGGACAUGGAGGGCAAGUUCAUACACUUAUUUGUCCAGAGAGUCCCACUAGCAGAAGUAGGUCACCAAGUCCUCAAAGAAGGGGUCAUAGGUCACCGAGUCCACAGAACAGAGGUCAUAGGUCACCUAGUCCACAGCACAUAGGUCCAGGGUUACCAACCAAUCAGAAAAAUACAAAGCAAUCUAAACACAACAAGAGUAACCGACUUAUAAGACCAUCAUCAGCCAAUAUGUCAGCAAGGCAACAGACGACAUUCAGGGCACAAAAAUCCAGUAAUACGAAAGUUUGUUUUGAAGAGGACCGACCCCAACACAAAUCUAUAUUUGUUGAAAAUGAGGAUGGCGAUGAGUUGUAUGUAGGGAUCCGGGAAGACCAGGCUCUCACCUUUGAGGACAUUGAGGCUGAGCUGAGGGCACUACAGGAGGACAUUCAGGACAGACGUGUAGCUGAGGAACACAGGGAUGUACUACAGGACGACAGCAGUGAUGACAGCACUGUUGUGGAGGACAGGAUCGACGAAUCAGAUCAUUAUUUACUAGGACUGAGCCAGUCAGAAGAGGAUCUACUGGCUGAUGUAAGGAGUGAGGAUCCUGUGGAUGACAUCCAGCAGGAUUGCUGGGGAGACUUGUCCGGUUUGUUAGCUAUUUAUAGGAGGAAGUGUAUGGAGGUUAGUGAGAACUGUGGGGAAAUCAGUGGCAAGCUGACCACUCCUCGUAAACCAAAGGUCAAACGACGACCUUACAGUGCCGGCAGUACCUCCUUAUAUCGCAAAGAUAGUUGUCAGUCUGUGUACACAGUGGACAGUGGUAAGGGGGAGAGCUCAGGGGUGGUCACAACAGACGGAAGUGUCGUUGGUCUGUCUCACGCUACUUCUAAUCUCACUCUGGACAGUGGACUCAGUUUAGCUGAUAGUGAUGCAAGGUCAAGGGUCAAUGACCAGUCCAAGCUGGACAGUAUAACACUGGUGCAGGACUCUCGUGAAACGGACGGUGAAGCAGUGUCCAGGGGAGGAGAUUCCUGUGUGACAGGAGGAACUGUGCCUCCACUGGAGCUCCACACCAAACAACAGGUGGAGCCACUGGAGCUCCCCACCAAACAACAGGUGGAGCCACUGGAGCUCCCCACCAAACAACAGGUGGAGCCACUGGAGCUCCACACCAACCAACAGGUGGAGCCACUGGAGCUCCACACCAACCAACAGGUGGAGCCACUGGAGCUCCACACCAAACAACAGGUGGAGCCACUGGAACUCCUCACCAAACAACAGGUGGAGCCACUGGAACUCCACACCAAACAAGCACCACAGGUGGAGCCACUGGAAGCUGAGCUUGUGGUAGAGGAUGUUGAUGAAGACCGAACAAUAGUGGACACCAAGGCACUGCUGGAGAUAGUGUGUGAGGAACUAACCACUCAUCAAAAGAAACUACAGCAGGAUGCAGAAAUGCCACUAAUACCUAAAGUGGAGCCUGUACCUCCAAAGGAAGAUCUCGAGAUUGUAGCUGAGGUGAAGACUUUAAACAAACAGAAAAAGAAGAAGGCACCACGAAGCGGCCCUAUUGCCCCGUUUGCUCCAGUUUGUUUUGAGAUCAAUGCCAGACCACCAAAGGGAUACCUGUAUUACUUUGCCUAUGGUACAGAGAUGAGCAUAUCAAGGCUUACCACCUAUAUUAAGAGGGAGCCACAGCGUUACUGGGGACUCCUGUUCGGUUUCCAGCUGGUAUUCAAUAAGAAAGGUGCUGACUUAGAGGCGGGAGGCUUUGCCAACAUAGAGUUUAAUCCCUACAGCUCUGUGGAGGGGUGUGUCUACCCAAUUACACAGCAGGAACUGCUUCUACUGGACAAGCAUGUCGGCUAUCCUGAGCACUAUGAACACCUUGUGACCCCACUGUGGCUGAUGAACUCCCUAGAUGACCCUAACGACUACGGUGUGGCCCAGUACUGUGUACCUGCUCUCACCUUCAUUGCCCAGGACAGGUGGAUAGAGACAGAAGAAAAAUUGGAUUGCAGUGGAUCGCUUUCUCAAUGCAUCAAGAGUUCCGAUAUGGUUACACCAGGUUACCAUGAUCACAUGGUCAAUGUGGGCGCAAUAAACAGUGGCAGAGAGCAGAUCGCCGCAGCUUAGUUAUAACAUCAUCUCACUAUAGCUCAUAGGUCCUUUGGUGCGUUAAGGAGGUUAGAUGGAGGAUUCACCAGCCAGAUAAUUCACCUCAGUAUUCAACAGGAGUAUUCAACAAGAGGAAUAUUCACCAGGCUGAUAUUCAAACUUGGUAUUCAACCUAAGUAUUCAACAGGAGUAUUCCACAUGAGUAUUCCGCAGGAGUAUUCCACAAGAGUAGUAAUCAAUACAAACAGUAUUUAAGACAGAUGUUGAGCUAACAUACGUCCAAGUCUAGGACAUCACACAGGUCCAUUGACAACUUAGGUACUUCCUGCCGCUGUUUAGAGUACCCUGCGUGUACUGACCUCCUGUUUAGAGUACCCUGCGUGUACUGACCUCCUGUUUAGAGUACCCUGCAUGUACUGACCUCCUGUUUAGAGUACCCUGCGUGUACUGACCUCCUGUUUAGAGUACCCUGCGUGUACUGACCUCCUGUUUAGAGUACCCUGCGUGUACUGACCUCCUGUUUAGAGUACCCUGCGUGUACUGACCUCCUGUUUAGAGUACCCUGCGUGUACUGACCUCCUGUUUAGAGUACCCUGCGUGUACUGACCUCCUGUUUAGAGUACCCUGUGUGUACUGACCUCCUGUUUAGAGUACCCUGCGUGUACUGACCUCCUGUUUAGAGUACCCUGCGUGUACUGACCUCCUGUUUAGAGUACCCUGCGUGUACUGACCUCCUGUUUAGAGUACCCUGCGUGUACUGACCUCCUGUUUAGAGUACCCUGCGUGUACUGACCUCCUGUUUAGAGUACCCUGCGUGUACUGACCUCCUGUUUAGAGUACCCUGCGUGUACUGACCUCCUGUUUAGAGUACCCUGCGUGUACUGACCUCCUGUUUAGAGUACCCUGCGUGUACUGACCUCCUGUUUAGAGUACCCUGCGUGUACUGACCUCCUGUUUAGAGUACCCUGCGUGUACUGACCUCCUGUUUAGAGUACCCUGCGUGUACUGACCUCCUGUUUCCCCCUGAUUGACAUCAGAUCAACAUUAAUACCUGACAACCACCAUACCAUUAGAUUUGAUUUAAUUUGUACUGAAUGAAUUCUACACCAGUUUAUUUCUACUCCAAACUAUUUGCUCAAACUGAAUAUUUAUAUAAAUAUAUAUAUUUUAGUGAUCAGUAUUAAAUCAUUCUUCUCUCAUCAAUGUAUAUACCAAUGUGUACAAAUAUCAUUUAUCAAAAGUACUUUCAAAAUAUUUAUAUUUCUAAGGUUACAUAACAAUAAUUGUCCUGUAUAAUAUGUAUAUGAUCUAUGUGACAUAGACAAGUAUUUCUACUGUUUAUGUUUAUAUGUUAAUCAGAUCUGAUGUAGGUUGUUAUUUUAUCCUGUUAUAAGAGGUUAUCCCCCUUUGGUAACUAGUACCUGUCAGUCUAGUAUCCAGGCAGUUCUAAGGGAUUGUCUCUCUUCAGUAACAAGAGUGCUGGCUAGUUUUGUUUCCAGACUGUUAUAAGAGGUUAUCCCCCUUUGGUAACUAGUACCUGUCAGUCUAGUAUCCAGGCAAUUCUAAGGGAUUGUCUCCCUUCAGUAACAGGUGCUAAUUAGUUUUGUUUCCAGACUGUUAUAGCAGGUUAUCCCCCUUUGGUAACAAGUGCCUGUCAGUCUGGUACCCUGGCAGUUUUUUAAAAUGAUUUUUCGGUCUGGUAUCUGGGCAGUUAGGAGGAAUUGUCUCCCUUUAAGAAUUGAUGUUUAUCAGUCUGAUGUCUAGAAUGUCUACCUGUAACAUGUCAAGAACUGUAUCUAUCUCUUUGUAAUUUCUAUAUAAUUGGUCUUGCAGACACCACUUCUGCAGAACUCAUCUUCUUUUCUCAAGUAUUUAUGCAUAUGCUUAUUGUGUUAACAGAGUUUAUUUAUAUAGCCUGUAUAGAAAUAGUCUAUACAGAGUUGUUAUAAGAUACCUCCUUUACUUGAACGGUUUUAUGUUUUUGAGUAUUGUGUAUAAGCUACUUGUUUGUUUUGAUUAAGAUAAUGGACAUUCUUGAGCUGUGGUCCUCAUCCUGUGUGUAAGAAAACAUGGACAAAUAUCAAUAAACGUAUUGUUAAAGUUAUUUUUAUUUAUCAUAGUAAAUUAACAUUUCUGUAGAUUUGAUAUAUAAAUGCAAAAUGUAUUUUACUAUGAGCUUUAGUGGAAUGCCAAAGAAGGAAGGACACACUUUGUAUGUUGCUUUGCUUGUUAGGUGAUAUCCUGUCAAUUGUAUUACAGUUACCACCAUCAGCUACAAUUGUGGAAUAAAAUCUUGUAUAAACCCCUUUUUAUAGUCAGUAACGGCAAUCACAUAGCGUUUCCCUCCUUUAUCAUCUAGGGCGGUAAUCAUGUGACGUCUCUUUUCUUCUGCGUCUGGAGCGGUGGUCACGUGAGGUUACCAUCUUUUACUGUCUAUGACGGCUAUCAGAAACAUUUGCUUCCACUAUCGUCAGGUGUAGCAGUCACGUGAUUCUCUAUCCUUUACUGUAUGUUGCGGUAGUCAUGUGACUGCUAUCCUUUACCGUAUGUUGCGGUAGUCACGUGAAUCGCCAUCCUUUACCGGGCCUCAGACCACAAUUAAUUCUACUAUAUGUUACUACCAAACGCAAAAUUAAAUUAAAUUAUUUUAAAACUUUGAGCAGGGUCUGGUUCCUAUUUCAUACUGUAGGUCUAUUCAGACUGAACAUACAGUGAGCUGGAAAGUACCUCAUGACCGGCAUUUAAGAAAGAUAAUUUCAUUUGAAUGCCACUUCCCUGCAUGUAUAGGGGAAAAUACCAAAAAUCACAAAAUAUCACUACCCAAGCCUCAUCACUCAUUGUGUCCUGCUGCCAAUACAAACUAGGAAACUGUCAAAUAAAUUUAAUCACUAGAAUAGAUAUUGUUGAACAAUUCUAUGUAAAACAAAUGUACAUAUCUGUCAUAGAUCAGACAGGAAAAUAUAUUUAUUAACCCACCUGAAAUGUCCGUAUGCACUACAUUCGCGUACAACGACCCGGAAGUGUAAUUGUGGUCUGAGGCCACCGUAUGUUGCGGUAGUCACAUGAUUCUCUAUCCUUUAUCGUGCGUUGUGGUAGUCACGUGAUUUCGUACACCAUGCUGUGUCUGAUGCAUAUCUAUAAUUACCAACUCUUCCCUGUGAUAACUUAUCCGUCCAGCCUAAGUCUGAUAUCUUGUGUUAAUGGAAAUAUUUUUAUUACUGAUAUUUAUUUACUUUUAGAAAGAUUAAUUUACAAAUGUACGGUAUAUUUAUUAACUUGUUUUUCUCAAGUAAAAUGUUUUUGUUUCCU
Molecule: unclassified non-coding RNA, 7511 nt
Filed under: Mizuhopecten yessoensis (Yesso scallop)
Lineage: Eukaryota; Metazoa; Mollusca; Bivalvia; Pectinida; Pectinidae
Description: uncharacterized LOC110454007, transcript variant X6
Source: RNAcentral